Molecule: RNA transcript, 3649 nt
Organism: Pan troglodytes (chimpanzee)
Lineage: Eukaryota; Metazoa; Chordata; Mammalia; Primates; Hominidae
Gene: GSDMC
Gene name: gasdermin C
Exons: 20
Source: RefSeq, a predicted model, not a curated record
GGGGGGGAGGGCGGGGGGAGGCACUUGGAGAAGAGGGUUUAUGGCAGAGACCCGAGCGUGUUGUCAGGUUAGGGGAAAGAUCCUGUUGAACUGGAUAAGGUGAAGAUGAAUUGGUAUCAGUUGCAUUGCUGGACAUGUAACUCCAUUCCUUGCGUCAGCCAGGGAGAGAAGGUCUCAUUUCCAUUAUUUGCGAGAGAAGGCUGUUUAAGGACAAAUAGAAAUUAAAAAUAAGGCUAAUUCUCCCAGUUGAACAUAAGGGAAGAGAGUUUCCUGGCCUCCUUUUUCUUAAAUUUAGAAAACUUUCAAAAGCAUGAAGAAGUGGAGUGGGAAUUCCAGCCCUCAUCUUCCACAGAACCUUUGAUUUAAUGAUGACAUAUGGACAAAAAUACCUUUAUGAAAAGUCCAGAAUCCAGUUAAGAAGUUGUGGUAACCCAGAUGAGCACAAAACAAAGAACAGCUGCAUUGAAACAGAAUAAAAAUGGAGUCACUUGCAUAAAAAAUUCUGACAAAUGGAGCAAGAAAAGGCCAUGACAGGAGGGACUCAUGCAGGAAUGCCUGAUAACAAGAACUGUCACAAAAGACUCUGCAAAACCACAACCUGAGGAGGCAGAGAAAGAUGGCAGAACAGAAGCCUCCACCAAUUGUACUUCCUACAGGAACACCGAAUUUAACAGCUAUAUACAUAAACAAGCACGUUUAUAAGAACCAAAAUUCAGCAACAUGCCCUCCAUGUUGGAACGCAUUAGCAAAAAUUUGGUCAAAGAGAUUGGAAGCAAAGACCUGACACCUGUCAAAUACCUAUUGAGUGCCACCAAAUUACGUCAGUUUGUUAUAUUACGAAAGAAGAAGGAUUCUCGUUCAUCAUUUUGGGAACAAUCUGACUAUGUUCCAGUUGAAUUCUCCCUCAAUGACAUCCUGGAGCCAAGUUCUUCAGUCCCAGAAACUGUUGUGACAGGACCGUUCCACUUCAGUGACAUUAUGAUCCAGAAGCAUAAGGCUGACAUAGGUGUGAAUGUUGGUAUAGAAGUGAGUGUGUCAGGGGAGGCCUCUGUGGACCAUGGAUGCUCCCUCGAGUUUCAAAUUGUUACCAUCCCAUCACCAAACCUGGAAGACUUUCAAAAAAGGAAACUGUUGGAUCCAGAGCCAUCAUUUCUGAAGGAGUGCCGGAGGAGAGGGGACAACCUGUACGUGGUGACAGAGGCUGUUGAACUGAUCAACAAUACUGUGCUGUACGAUAGCAGUAGUGUGAAUAUUUUAGGGAAAAUUGCUCUUUGGAUUACCUAUGGCAAGGGUCAAGGCCAAGGAGAGAGUCUCAGAGUGAAGAAGAAGGCGCUGACUCUGCAGAAAGGCAUGGUGAUGGCUUAUAAGAGAAAGCAGCUGGUUAUCAAGGAGAAAGCCAUUCUCAUCUCAGAUGAUGAUGAACAGAGAACCUUUCAAGAUGAGUACGAAAUUUCCGAAAUGGUAGGCUACUGUGCUGCGAGGAGUGAGGGGUUGCUACCAUCAUUUCAUACCAUCUCUCCAACCCUCUUCAAUGCCUCAUCCAAUGAUAUGAAGUUAAAACCAGAGCUAUUUCUGACACAGCAAUUUUUGAGCGGGCAUUUGCCAAAAUACGAACAAGUUCACAUCCUCCCAGUAGGAAGAAUAGAGGAACGCUUCUGGCAAAAUUUCAAGCAUCUACAAGAGGAGGUUUUCCAGAAAAUAAAGACACUGGCUCAGCUCUCAAAGGAUGUUCAGAAUGUCGUGUUCUAUAGUAUCCUGGCCAUGCUCAGAGACAGAGGGGCUCUACAGGACCUGAUGAACAUGCUGGAAUUGGACAGCUCAGGUCAUUUGGAUGGCCCUGGUGGUGCCAUCCUAAAGAAACUUCAACAGGAUUCAAACCAUGCAUGGUUUAACCCAAAGGACCCCAUUCUUUAUCUCCUUGAAGCCAUAAUGGUGCUGAGUGACUUCCAACACGAUUUGCUGGCCUGUUCCGUGGAGAAGAGGAUCCUGCUUCAGCAACAGGAGCUGGGUAUGACCAGCAUGUUACUCCUGGUCCUCUGGAUCCCAAAGCUCUUGCUCCUUUUAUUAUCCUGCAUGGCCCCUGGAUACUGGGGCAGAAGCCUUCUCUUCCUGAUCUUAAAGGCUGGUCUGUAGAACCUGAUCAUCUUUCUUCUAGGGACGGCUCACGCUCUUGGCACAUGGAGGUAUACAGAAUAUCGUCAAUCAAGGAACCUCACCUGAAGCAGGACCCUCAGCAUGUUGGUGUAUGGAGGAGUGGCAUAUUCUCUUGAUCCACUCAUCAGUGAAGAAUAUUUGGAUUGUUUCCAGUUUUCAGCAGUUUUGAAUGAAGACCCUAAAAACAUUUGCUGAGAAUAUGGCAGAGCUUGUUUUGGUUCUUUCCAUCUGAUCACUUCAUCCUUCCAGGCACUGGGCAUCCAGAGUUAAAUAGAUGCAACCCCUGCUGUGGAGAAGCUUACAGUGCCGUGAGAGGAAGUGACAGAUAUACACUGAAUGCCUGCUAAGUGCCUGGCUCCAUUUUUGGACUGGAAAUGGCAAGUAUCUGGGCCAGGAAAGGACUUUGAAGUCAUUGAAUUCAGUAGUUCUCAAAUACAGACCCUCAAACUGGUGCUGCUCGGCGAUGUUUUCACUGCUUUACAGAAAAGUGAGGAAAAGAGAGUGAUGUUUGGAAAGCCAAGGUUAUGACUUUAAAGCAUUUCCUUUCUUCUGAGAUCAUGUUUUUCCUUUUCUUCCCUUCUGUUAAAAUGUGCUUUUUUUGAUUUUUGUUUUUACAGAAUGACUGCAAUAGUGGAUGAUAAUUGAAUUAGUUGUAAUAUCCAUUGUUGGCAAAAAGUUGGCAACCCUCUGUAAUUCCUCUGACUUUUUUUGGUGGAGAAAAUUUGUAUUGGUCUGAGAAAUAGAAAAUCUGGAAAGCAUCCACAUCAACCAGUUUCAAUUCCUCUACACCUGAGCCCCUCCUCCAGCAGCAUCACCUUCCUAAACAGACACUAAGAGUCAUCAUUCCAAGGGCAAGGGAAUUCCCUUCCUAUCUUUAAAUUUAUUUUUAAAAUUUCUUCAUGUUAAUUACUAUUAUUUCCCUAUAAUUUCCAAUAUCAGGUCACUGUUUAUCCAUAUGAAUAUAUUGAUUGAUUGAUUACCUGAUUGACUUUUCAACCAAGUAGAACCAAUAAAAUUUAUUAAGCAUGACCUUAGUGCCAAGCAUCCUACCAGGACCUGGGGACACAAAGAUGAAGAUGGCAAAAUAGCCCUUCCUAUAUUUGAAGACAAAUUCUAUGCCCCCUCUCUUCUACUCCUCCCCUUCACUCCACAUUUCUCUGCAUCCAAUUAACCAUCUCUGAUCUUCAGCCCUUGAUAUGGUUUGGUUGUGUCCCCACCCAAAUCUCAUCUUGAAUUAUAGUUCCCAUAAUCCCCAUGUGUCAUGGGAGGUACCCAGUCGGAGGGAAUUUAAUCAUGGGGGUGGUUACCUUCAUGCUGUUCUCGUGAUAGUGAGUGAAUUCUCAUGAGAUCUGAUGCUUGGCACUUCUCCUGCUGCUGCCAUGUGAAGAAGGAAGAAGGACGUGUUUGCUUCCCCUUCUGGCAUGAUUGUAAGUUUCCUGAGGCCUCCCCAGCCAUGCUGAACUGUGAGUCAAUUAAACCUCUUUCCUUUAUAAAU